AAGGAACGUAGUGUUUGUGGAGGUCCUGGCCAAGGUACGGUGCUCCAGCAAUGGGAUGCAGCAGUGUGCUUAAUGAGGUGCUGAUUUACUCCUUGGGUUUUCUUUGUGGUUUACCUCAGCCCAGACUCAGCCAGGCUCUGGGUGCCCAUGCCUUUGGUGUCGCAUUGCCAAACAGCAGCAAGCUGCAAUAGUAUCAGCUCAGCAGUGAUGUGCAGACACCUGGAAGUCCCUCAGCAAAGCCAUGUUUGGCAGUGAGUCCUGUCUGGGCGGUGCUCCUGGAGCUGACUGCAUCCCAUAUCUCACCAGGUGUGCGCCUGGCAUUCACAGAGAACGAAGUCCUGUGCACCACAACCACAGGAAGGAUGUGGGGAGCCGUGAUCCUGUGCAGCAAAUCUGCGCCUUCUAAGCUGCUUCAGGUGUUCACAUCGAGACCAUCACCAGCGAGGCCACUGUUAAUCACUUUUCAUCCUGAAGAAGGACCCCAGCUGACUGAUGCCUCUUAGAACCAUAGAACCGUUAAUGUUGGAAAAGAUCACCAAGUUCAACCCCAAUCCAUCCCCACCAUGCCCUUAACAGCGUCCCUCAGUACCACAUCUCCAUGGUUCUGGAACACCUCCAGGGAUGGUGACACCACCACUCCUCGUGCAGCUGUGCCACUGCGCCAUCGUUCUUUCAGAGAAGAAAUUUUUCCUAAUAUCCAACUCUUCAAGACCAAAGUAGUGUUACUUGUUAUCAGACUGGACAGAAGGGAUCUGAGCCAGGACUGGGCAGUGGGGACCAUCUUGCUGUCCUCUCACAUGUUGGCGCUCAUCCCGGCCUCUUCACACACAAAGAUGACAUUGUUGAUGGGCCAGCAGCUGUUUGGAAGCUGCCAGACCUUUGCUGCUUGGUGAGCUUUUCUCUUCGAGCUUGGGAAAUGUCCCCAGUGGGAGCUGUGACCUGCCACUGCUGUCACCUGUGGGAAUGCAACACCUGCAGACCCCAGCCGGCUCCUUCCUGCUCCUUCAUCUUGGAAUACCAGCUGCAGGUUGCUUAUCAUCGGUCCGAGCCCUGAAGCAGAGGUACUGAUUCCGAUCUGCAGCUGCAGCCGGGCUUAAAUCUUGAUCUGCAAACGGUGAGACUGAGCGCUGAGUGUGCAGAGACAUUAUUAGAUUAUUAAAUCAAUGACACUCAGGUUAUUAGUCACACUCAUCCGCAUUACCUGACACCGUAAUGAUGUUCUAUUUUUACUUCCAUCCUGCUAAUGUCCCAGAGGUACUGAAAUUAUGACCAGAAAAUUAAUUUCUAUACAUUUGAACAAGAAAUAGAAGUAUAGGGAAUAAUCUCACAUCGACGAUAUAAAUCCUGGUGGAGUUGUUUAGAAAAGCAACCGGGAGAGGGAGAGGGCUGAGAACGGUGCCUCAGAUGCAGCCUUCUCUGUAUUCAGUGCCCAGCUCUCAUGGAUGCUCUGGCUGAUAACUGGGCCAGGCUAUUUCAGCCGGUAACUCAUUUGGGGCAAUUAGGACUCGUGAGCUGGCGUUAAUGAUCUCACUCCCUCAGCCAAUGCUUUCUUGCAGAAUCCCUCUGUUGUCACAACGGGCUGAAAUCAAACCCAGGAAACAGAAAAAGGCCAGCACAUGGCAAGAUGUUGUUUAUGUUUUCAGAAAUUACUCAAGUGCAAGCAAAUUAUCAUCUCAGCCCCCGGGCUGAGCAGAGGAGGGAGGCUUGAUCCGCCUGCAGCCUGCAUUGGGUCUUCUCUCUGCUCCAUGUGAAACGCCCCCCCCCCCCCUCCAAGGAUGCUGAGCAUCCAUCCCACCCCCAUCUGACCAAGCAGCACCAGCACCUUGACCCUGCAGCCGGGGAGAUGCAAAAAAGUGGCUCAAAGGGCUCUACUACCCUUUAUAAAUGCCUGAAUGGGAACUGCAAUGGGGUACGGGUAUGGGGUGGUGCUGGAGCAGGAUGGGGACAGUACCAGCAGGGAUGGAGAGCAGAGCAUGGAGGGGAGGUGAGUGAGGGGGUGGCGGCAUGGUGACCCUGAGCACCAGUAUGGCUUCCCAUUGCAUGCACAGCUUAUGGGGAGAAGCAUAUGGUGAAACAUCCCCUAGGGAAAGCCAUUCUCACCCUUCCCCACGCCGCCCACAGCCCCAGCUACUUGCAAUUUCCCUGAGCUUAUUGAGUACUGGGAGCACGUCUACAUAUUGCUUAAUUAUAGCUUGGUAUGAAUGCAUGUCUUAACAGCGCAUUUAUUUCAUGUUUGCAAUUAAUGUGGAAACAAGUGUUGGUGCUCGCUCUGCCCCAGAUGGAGCAGGGAGAUUUCCUGACAUCUUCCAGUGAAUAAAAAAGGAGUGAUGUAUGAGCCCCAGAGUGUAGGUAUGCACUGUCAGUACCUGCUAAGUGCAUGUUGCAGGAUGUUCUCGUGAGCAAAGUUUGUAGUAGAACCAUAAUGAGCUGUUUAGGUGUAAUUAAAAGGUGGGGUGAGAACUUGCAUGGAAAUCCUCCUCUCCAGGCUUUGGGAAGCCUGCUAAUAAGACGUAAAUAUCUAGCAGCUCAGCUGGAGCACAGUGUGUUCUUUGGUUAAACAUUAAAGGGGCAUUGUCAAGUGGUUUUAAUUAAUUAGCUAGGCUUUGAAUGAAAUCAAAUCAAUUUGGAGCAGUUGGGCUCAAAAUUAGAGAUGUUUUCACCUGGUGGAAAAUGUCCUUCAAAUGCCAAAUAUCUUAAAAGUUAGAAAAAAAUUAAGAAUGCCUUUGAGAUAUUGCAUCUCGAUAUCCCUGGAGGUGUUCCAGAACCAUGGGGAUGUGGCGCUGUGGGACAUGGCUAUGGGCGUGGUGGAAGUGGGUUGGGUUUGGGCUUGGGGAAUCUCAGUGGUCUUUUCCAACCUUAGUGAUGCUGUGGUUCUCUGAUUCUGUGUUUUCACUGAUGUCAUUGCUGACCAUGGGAGGCUGCUGGUAGCGCACGCUCAGCCUGCACCGUCUCUGAGCUUUCUGCCCACUUUUGGCCAUAGAAGCACUGGGAGUUACAAAAUUCCUCUUGUGCUUUUAGGAAAAGAAACGCUGUUCUUGAUAUUGACUUUUUAAAAGCAAAAGAAUUGAACAAAAUGAGAGCGCAGGCACUUCUUAUUAGGCCAGCACAAUGCCAUAUAUUAUCCUGGAUGUUUUGUGUUAGAUUUAGGGGGGAAAAAUCAACACCAACUCCCUGUGACACAAUAGGCUAUAACUGCUGGAAGCCGUUAUGGGCUAUUAUGUGAAGCCGUUACAGUCUAUUGAGUAAAUAAUCUACAGAUUAAAGCUUUCUAAGUACACAGUAACUUGAUAGGUAACCAAAGAAGCCAUUACAGUAUGUCACGUCAAUAAGGGGAGGCUUACGGCUCCUCACGCUUUGUACAGUGACAGAUCUAUCCGCCAUAAACCAAAGCGGUCGCCUUUUGGAGAGCCAAACCAAACAACCAAACCGCAGUGCAGCCGUGCUCAUGGGGCCGAGGAUUCGGGAUUGCAGCAAGGGCUGAGCGUGCAAAGCGCUGCUGCUCCUGAUCUGCUCACCCCUUCCUGCACCGCGGGCACCCACGGCGCUUCGCUGCAGAGAGUUUGUGAGUGCUCACACGGCUCAGUGCUUCCCCAGCCCCCCCCGGCACCCCUCCUGCCCCACCUUGCAGGGCCUCAACCUCCUGCCGGCAUUUAAUUACUCCGAGCUCCCAGCCUCGCCGGUGUGUUUAAUAUGAGCUAUGUAAAUUUCUCCCAAGAAUGAUAGGAUUUUGACAGCCUGAUUUGCCUCGCAGGCAUACUCAAGCCAGCUCAUUUUCUCUUCCCUGGAAAUUUUUGAGUGGUCGGGUGGCAUUUGAUUACCAUUGGCUGGCAUAUCUGAGCUCUGGGGUUGAGCAUAAAGAUAUUUUAAAUUUAAUAGGUUUAAGAUGUCAUUAUUUCCAUGCUGAUGAAUUUAUACUUGUAGCCAGAGAAACUUAGAGCAUUUAAUGAACUUAUUUAGUUCAUGGUGCAAGCUUUAAACGCAAUCCCAAGUAUAAAAUUAAAUCAUGUUGGAUAAAAACUAACACCCAGAAGCUAAAACUGAGCGGGGUAAAUGAAUGAAUUUAUAAAGAUAGAAUAAAUACAGACAUAAGGCACCUAGGGGACAGAUUUACUAAGACUUUUUGCACUGUUUUCAAUGGAGCUUGUAAUAGCAUAAAAGAAUUAAAUCUGAUUUACUAGGGAGGAUUUGUACAGUAUUUCACCACCUGCUUCCCAGUGCCAGCAGCCCCUUCCCCAUCGCUCUCACCGUCAGCAGGAGCUCUGGGCACAGCCAAACAUGUGGCAGAGAAAUCUCCAGCUUUGCUGAAAAGUGCACAAGCAACCGGAGAAGAAAGCAAUGCAAUCCAAGAGGAUCAACAGAGCCAUUAUAUGAAAAUCAAUUCUAAUUCUAACCCAGUCAAUAAGGAGCUGCAUCAGAUGGGAGAGGGAUGGGUGUGCCGUGGUAGCUUUGAAGUCUCCUUCCCAGGCUCUCUGUGCCAAGGCCUUACUGAAUGUCUUUCAAACCCUACACACUUUCAUAGUCUGCACAAAGAAGGUAGCACCUCAGUAGUAAUAGGAGUCUGCAGUUUUCCCCAUAAAACAUUGCCCGGGCAAUGUGGGGUCAUGAGACUCAGGACAGGUUUGGAAAUGCCAUAAAAAACCUUUCCUAUCUGAAGCAAUCAGAAAGCCCAGGUGAGGAAAUGCAACUCUUGAUUCAUUCCUGGGGAACUCACUGAAGACGUAACUACAAAUGAGCUAUUCUCUACAGUAGUGACUGAUCUUAUCACAUUCAACAUCCUUAUGGAACAGCAUGAUAGAAAAGAUGCAUUUCACUUUAAAAGGAGGAGAUGAAUGAGGAGAAGAAUGAGGAAGCAAGCUAAGAAGAUACUGGAACAAACAUCAAAUUAAAAAAAUAUAUAGUUACAUUAGUGCUACCUACAAGCAGAUAUUGCUCGUUUUGGUGCUUAACAAAAGCAAAUGCUCUGGAAAGUAAGCCAGCGGGACAACACUGGAUGAUGGGCAUUAGAACCAGAGACUUCUUUUAAACAUCUAAAGGAGGCAUUCGUGGGAUCCUGGACUAGUAAAAGUUAGGAAAUUAGGACUAGGAAUCAAGUCCUAUCAGAUUUUGCAGAGGAUGGAAAAUUCAGUAGAAAUUCAAGAGGUAUUUGUGUUACUCACAAAUGAAGAAUGAUGGGCUCUAAGUCAGCACCUGCCCAUAAUCAGGGUGUGCCUUUAUGGCUCCUCCUCUCCAAGCACUGGCUCCGUCCUAAUGAGCUCAGUCCUACCUGAAGGUCUGUUUGCCUAUGGCAGAAAUAUCAAAGGAGAACAGAAGGUACAGAGAAGGCAACAAAUACCUUUAGACAUAGGACGCAGGGACCAGCCCCUUCCAGCCUGAAUGAUUCUAUCAGUGGGCAUGGUGGUGAUGGUUGAACUUGAUGACCUUGGAGGCCUUUUUCAACCUUAACGAUUCUAUGACUCCAUAACCCUAUGAAGGAAACACUAAAUAUGCUUAGGGCUCUUGCUUGGGAAGGAUAUAAUUGAAGAGGGAGACAGGUAAAAUAUGGGCUGUCCUGAGUGAUAUGAAGGUAGAUAGGGAUGAGCAUCACUCCGUACUCUCCCAAAACUCCCGAUCCGGGAAGAAGAGGGUUUGUUGCUUUCUUUCUUUAUCUGGAGUCACAGCACUCAGCCGUACCGCUGAGCGACCGGCCGCCAAUCGAGCGGGUCAACAAUUUUCCAGCAGAACAGUUUUUUGAGCCACUUUCUGUUGGGAAGCGCUGAUUUGAUGGGAUCAAGAUGCUUUGUGGGAACACAUCAAUGCCAUCAAGCCGUCAGUAGAAGCCAGACAUCUGCCCGUCCUCCUCGCCUGCUGCCCAGCUGGCUGGCUCAUGGGGACAGCUGGGCCGCCGCACUGCAGCCAGUAGCAUGCCUGAUUUUACUUUACUUUGUCAUUAGUCUAUUUCUAUUCCAUUUUUUUUUAACUUCAUUUGAACAACUACAUUUUAUGCCCGCUGUACUUGCACCACCAAAAGUGCUCCGUUGCCAAUCAGAAUAUCAGACAUCAAAUCAAAGCACAAGUCGCGCAAUGGGUAUCAUUUAUAUUAUAAUUUAAAUGAGUUUUUAGGUCUACAUUUUAAAGUACAGAGAUGCACCAAUGUGAAGAGUAUGUGCAGUAAGAAGCCAGCACGUUUUUAUUUGUAUAUCAUAUCACGCAUUAACACAGUCACAUUUUGUGCUGUACAGAGCUGGAGUCUGUGAUGACAAAAUAAAAGCUAUAUUUGAAUCUCUUUCUAACUUUACUGGG
Molecule: long non-coding RNA, 6279 nt
Filed under: Gallus gallus (chicken)
Lineage: Eukaryota; Metazoa; Chordata; Aves; Galliformes; Phasianidae
Source: RNAcentral